RNAcentral lists this transfer RNA (64 nucleotides) under Ochthebius sp. IBE<ESP> AN292. Its description in RNAcentral is "tRNA-Tyr". The record is from RNAcentral. Lineage: Eukaryota; Metazoa; Arthropoda; Insecta; Coleoptera; Hydraenidae.
GAUAAAAUGGCUGAGAAUAGGCGAUAAAUUGUAAAUUUAUUCACGAAAUUACUUUCUUUUAUCA